GACGAACGCUGGCGGCGUGCUCAACACAUGCAAGUCGAGCGGUAAGGCCCUUUCGGGGGUACACGAGCGGCGAACGGGUGAGUAACACGUGGGUGACCUGCCCUCAGCUCUGGGAUAAGCCUGGGGAAACCGGGUCUAAUACUGGAUAUGACUCCAUGACGCAUGUUGUGGGGUGGAAAGCCUUGUGCGGCUGAGGAUGGGCCCGCGGCCUA
This 212-nucleotide ribosomal RNA is filed under the name uncultured bacterium. RNAcentral describes it as "partial 16S ribosomal RNA". It matches the Rfam family "Bacterial small subunit ribosomal RNA", at positions 28 to 240 of the family's 1533-position model. The record is from RNAcentral.